RNAcentral lists this long non-coding RNA (1020 nucleotides) under Mus musculus (house mouse). RNAcentral describes it as "long non-coding RNA chr15:76820004-76821024". The record is from RNAcentral. Lineage: Eukaryota; Metazoa; Chordata; Mammalia; Rodentia; Muridae.
GCAGUGCUGCAGACCCAAGCCCUGGGGAUCUCCACUGUGCUCACACUUAGCACGUCCUUGCUGAGUCAUCCUGGGCUCUGCUCUUAGGUAUGGAUGAGGGCUCCUGCUCUGUCUCCAGCCCCCUCAGCAAUGCGGCUGGAAACAGACGUUCUAAAUGCUGCAGAAAGGAACGCACAAGCAGCAAGGCUAUUUAUCUUUGCAAAAAUGAAAUUAACCGGGCUAGCAAGUCCUCGAGGGCCAGAAGCUCACUUCGAGUGUAUCCUAAGGCAGGUGGUGACUGUGUCUUUUUUCCUAUUGCCUGGGGUCACCUCAUAGUCUUUUCCUGAUUCAGCCUGAUUCAGUUUAAAAAGAUUCAGCUUGGAGUAAAUGAAAGGGAGAGGGUGAGGUGUCAGCUGCUGCAGAUCACGUUUGGGAACUGGAGGAGGGCAGGGCCUUUGUGGAAAGAAAAGCUUUACCAGGUAGAGGAAAGUAAAAGGUUUGAAUUUCUUUACACAAAAGUUUUAGAGGGUGUGAGAUAUACAGAAUAUUGGCCUUUGGUGACGAAUUUUUUUCCUUGUUCACCCACCUGAAGUAAGCUGACUUGGAUGAAGGAAGACCGUCUCCUCCCUGCGGCUGAAGAAACAUUACCAACAUGGCUGACUGGAUUCCUUUUGAGUGUUUUUUGUUUGUUUCAAUAUUUUUGAGAUGUUUGUUAUGUUUUAUGUGCUUGCCUGAACGAGUGUCUGUCCCUGUACCACACAUGCAGUGCCUGUGGAGGCCCAGAAGAGGUCAUCAGACACCCUAGGAUUGGAGUUGCAGACGGUUGUCAGCUGCCCUGUGGGUGCUAGGAACUGAACCCAGGUCCUCUAGAGGAACAGUAAGUGCUCUUAACUGCUGAGCCAUCUCUCCAGCAAUGCCCACCGCUAACCCCUGCUGCCUCUCCCCCCCCCCCCCACUUCUUUUUAAGAUUUAUUUAUUAUUAUAUGUAAGUACACUGUAGCUGUCUUUAGACACACCAGAAGAGGGCAUCAGAUCUCAUUA